RNAcentral lists this ribosomal RNA (407 nucleotides) under uncultured bacterium. Its description in RNAcentral is "partial 16S ribosomal RNA". It matches the Rfam family "Bacterial small subunit ribosomal RNA", at positions 30 to 526 of the family's 1533-position model. The record is from RNAcentral.
AUUGAACGCUAGCGGGAUGCCUUACACAUGCAAGUCGAACGGAGUGGCGAACGGGCGAGUAAUGUACCGGAACGUGCCCAGUAGCGGGGGAUAACUACGCGAAAGCGUAGCUAAUACCGCAUACUAUUGACGCGGCCGACACCGGCGUAGCUAGUUGGUGGGGUAACGGCUCUCCAAGGCGACGAGCCGUAGCUGGUUUGAGAGGACGACCAGCCACACUGGGACUGAGACACGGCCCAGACUCCUACGGGAGGCAGCAGUGGGGAAUUUUGGACAAUGGGGGAAACCCUGAUCCAGCCAUCCCGCGUGUGCGAUGAAGGCCUUCGGGUUGUAAAGCACUUUUGGCAGGAAAGCGGUACCUGCAGAAUAAGCACCGGCUAACUACGUGCCAGCAGCCGCGGUAAUUC